UACAUGCAAGUCGUACGCACUGCCCAACUGAUUGAUGGUGCUUGCACCUGAUUGACGAUGGAUCACCAGUGAGUGGCGGACGGGCGAGUAACACGUAGGUAACCUGCCUCGGAGCGGGGGAUAACAUUUGGAAACAGAUGCUAAUACCGCAUAACAACAAAAGCCACAUGGCUUUUGUUUGAAAGAUGGCUUUGGCUAUCACUCUGGGAUGGACCUGCGGUGCAUUAGCUAGUUGGUAAGGUAACGGCUUACCAAGGCAAUGAUGCAUAGCCGAGUUGAGAGACUGAUCGGCCACAAUGGAACUGAGACACGGUCCAUACUCCUACGGGAGGCAGCAGUAGGGAAUCUUCCACAGUGGGCGCAAGCCUGAUGGAGCAACACCGCGUGAGUGAAGAAGGGUUUCGGCUCGUAAAGCUCUGUUGUUGGAGAAGAACGUGCGUGAGAGUAACUGUUCACGCAGUGACGGUAUCCAACCAGAAAGUCACGGCUAACUACGUGCCAGCAGCCGCGGUAAUACGUAGGUGGCAAGCGUUAUCCGGAUUUAUUGGGCGUAAAGCGAGCGCAGGCGGUUGCUAGGUCUGAUGUGAAAGCCUUCGGCUUAACCGAAGAAGUGCAUCGGAAACCGGGCGACUUGAGUGCAGAAGAGGACAGUGGAACUCCAUGUGUAGCGGUGGAAUGCGUAGAUAUAUGGAAGAACACCAGUGGCGAAGGCGGCUGUCUGGUCUGCAACUGACGCUGAGGCUCGAAAGCAUGGGUAGCGAACAGGAUUAGAUACCCUGGUAGUCCAUGCCGUAAACGAUGAGUGCUAGGUGUUGGAGGGUUUCCGCCCUUCAGUGCCGGAGCUAACGCAUUAAGCACUCCGCCUGGGGAGUACGACCGCAAGGUUGAAACUCAAAGGAAUUGACGGGGGCCCGCACGAGCGGUGGAGCAUGUGGUUUAAUUCGAAGCUACGCGAAGAACCUUACCAGGUCUUGACAUCUUGCGCUAACCUUAGAGAUAAGGCGUUCCCUUCGGGGACGCAAUGACAGGUGGUGCAUGGUCGUCGUCAGCUCGUGUCGUGAGAUGUUGGGUUAAGUCCCGCAACGAGCGCAACCCUUGUUACUAGUUGCCAGCAUUAAGUUGGGCACUCUAGUGAGACAGCCGGGUGACAAACCGGAGUGAAGGUGGGGACGACGUCAGAUCAUCAUGCCCUUUAUGACGUAGGGCUACACACGUGAUACAAAGGACGGCACAACGAGUCGCAAGCUCGCGAGAGUAAGCUAAUCUCUUAAUGCCCUUAUCUGUUCGGACUGUAGGCUGCAACUCGCCCACUCGAAGUCGGAAUAGUUAGUAAUCGCGGAUCAGCAUGCCGCGGUGAAUACGUUCCCGGCCCUCGCACAAACCGCCCGUCA
RNAcentral lists this ribosomal RNA (1391 nucleotides) under uncultured bacterium. Its description in RNAcentral is "bacterial SSU rRNA". It matches the Rfam family "Bacterial small subunit ribosomal RNA", at positions 52 to 1399 of the family's 1533-position model. The record is from RNAcentral.